GUGUCAGCCGCCGCGGUAAGACGAAGGGGGCUAGCGUUGUUCGGAAUUACUGGGCGUAAAGCGCGUGUAGGCGGUUAUCCAAGUCGGGUGUGAAAGCCUUGAGCUCAACUCAAGAAAUGCACUCGGUACUGGGUGACUAGAGGACCGGAGAGGAUAGUGGAAUUCCCAGUGUAGUGGUGAAAUACGUAGAGAUUGGGAAGAACACCAGUGGCGAAGGCGGCUAUCUGGACGGUUUCUGACGCUAAGACGCGAAAGCGUGGGGAGCAAACAGGAUUAGAUACCCCCGUAGUCC
Molecule: ribosomal RNA, 292 nt
Filed under: uncultured bacterium
Lineage: Bacteria
Description: partial 16S ribosomal RNA
Rfam family: Bacterial small subunit ribosomal RNA
Source: RNAcentral